Bos indicus x Bos taurus (hybrid cattle) is the source of this 1139-nucleotide long non-coding RNA. The record is from Ensembl. Lineage: Eukaryota; Metazoa; Chordata; Mammalia; Artiodactyla; Bovidae.
GUGGAACAUAGGUGCCUGGGACCAUCUUCAAGGCCUGGGGUCAACCUGCCCUUCAUGCAGGUAAAGUGAUCUCAUUGGCCAAUCUAAGUCACAUGUCAGUGUGGGGAUAGUUCUACACAACCAUGAAUUCUGAGAAGGGGUAUUCGUUGGGGGUGGUUAAUGUGAUAAUCUAUCUUGAUAGUCUAUGCAACAUUUCAAAAAUUUAUAACUGUGGGUUUGCUGAAUUGUAGAGUGAUGAUGAUGAAGAUGCUGAUAGUAAUCAUAAUACUAUUUUAAAUAAUGCACACCAUUUUAUUUAGUAUUUAUUAAGUCCAGGGCCUUAAGUGAUACAAUGAGGAAUUUGAUCUUACCAGCAACUCUGCCAGGUCAUUACCAUCCCCGGCUUAUGGAUGAGGAAACCGAGGCUCAGAAAAGGUGAGAUACAUUUCUCUAAGUGCAUCUUGUGGCUGCAAGUGGGAGAGGCAGGGCCUGAAUCUGGCCAAGAGAUCUCAGGACAAAGCUAAAUCGCAUUUCCAAAGCCAGUCCUUAGACUUGUUCAAGUGUAAGCAGCUUUCACUAAACAGAAGUUUGAUGAGCCGAGCAGGAGUGAAUCAGAAACACGAGGCUGAUGUUUGUCUUCAUCUGCAAGGGGGUUUGGCAGUCUCCAGGCUCCCUUGGCAAGCAGGAUUUGGGCGCUGCCAAAACCUGGAGCUCUGGCGUGAUAGCGUGACCCUUCCGGUCAGGCCAGGCCUCCCGCCCGCCUUCCUGCUGUUCAAAUCAGAGUCUCGGCCUCUCAUGGCCUCUCCUGCUGCUUCACCCUUGAGCCCCGAGGACAGAGUGGCAGGAGGCGUCUCUGUAACCACAUCACGUGUGGGGGAAAAAUGGCACAGAGCGCUCUUUCCUGGAGCGCGGUCAAUGCAGCAGUACCCCAGGUGCCAGGAAACCCAAGCCUUGGAAACUGUGGCUGCAGGUUCCAUCCCCAGGUUGUGGGUGUGGACCACAUUUGCACCAGCAGCUGGACAAAGAUGGGAGUCGUGUAGCUAACCUGAAGUGCUAUACUGCCUUCCUUUAGUGACACUCAGAAGAAAAUUAAAUCUUAGGGUCAGCCGUCUUUUGAAGGUAAUUGCUAUUUCAGAGUACCAUUUUGUUUCCUCUGGCAC